Molecule: ribosomal RNA, 485 nt
Filed under: uncultured bacterium
Lineage: Bacteria
Description: bacterial SSU rRNA
Rfam family: Bacterial small subunit ribosomal RNA
Source: RNAcentral
GACGAACGCUGGCGGCGCGCCUAACACAUGCAAGUCGAACGGAGCAACUUUCAUUGAUGUUUUCGGACUGAUUUGGAUUUUGCUUAGUGGCGGACGGGUGAGUAACACGUGAGCAACCUGCCUAUCAGAGGGGAAUAACGAUUGGAAACGAUCGCUAAUACCGCAUAACGUAGUUUAAGGGCAUCCUUUUACUACCAAAGAUUUUAUCGCUGAAAGAUGGCCUCGCGUCUGAUUAGCUAGUUGGUGAGGUAACGGCCCACCAAGGCGACGAUCAGUAGCCGGACUGAGAGGUUGACCGGCCACAUUGGGGACUGAGAUACGGCCCAGACUCCUACGGGAGGCAGCAGUGGGGAAUAUUGGGCAAUGGACGCAAGUCUGACCCAGCAACGCCGCGUGAAGGAAGAAGGCUUUCGGGUUGUAAACGUUCUUUUGUUCAGGGAAGAGUAGAAGACGGUACCUGACGAUAAGCCACGGCUAACUACGUG